UGGGGAAUCUUGCGCAAUGGGCGAAAGCCUGACGCAGCGACGCCGCGUGAGUGAUGAAGGCCUUCGGGUUGUAAAGCUCUGUGGAGGGGGACGAAUAAGGGCCGUCGAAUAGACGUCCCGAUGACGGUACCCCUUUAGCAAGCACCGGCUAACUCUGUGCCAGCAGCCGCGGUAAGACAGAGGGUGCAAACGUUGUUCGGAAUUACUGGGCGUAAAGCGCGUGUAGGCGGCUCGGAAAGUCGGGUGUGAAAGCCCUGGGCUCAACCUAGGAAGUGCACUCGAAACUUCCGAGCUGGAGUUCUGGAGAGGAAGGCGGAAUUCUCGGUGUAGAGGUGAAAUUCGUAGAUAUCGAGAGGAACACCGGUGGCGAAGGCGGCCUUCUGGACGGUAACUGACGCUGAGACGCGAAAGCGUGGGGAGC
Molecule: ribosomal RNA, 421 nt
Filed under: uncultured bacterium
Lineage: Bacteria
Description: bacterial SSU rRNA
Rfam family: Bacterial small subunit ribosomal RNA
Source: RNAcentral